Molecule: ribosomal RNA, 1367 nt
Filed under: uncultured bacterium
Lineage: Bacteria
Description: 16S ribosomal RNA
Rfam family: Bacterial small subunit ribosomal RNA
Source: RNAcentral
ACGCUGGCGGCGUGCCUAAUACAUGCAAGUCGAGCGAACGGACGAGAAGCUUGCUUCUCUGAUGUUAGCGGCGGACGGGUGAGUAACACGUGGAUAACCUACCUAUAAGACUGGGAUAGCUUCGGGAAACCGGAGCUAAUACCGGAUAAUAUUUUGAACCGCAUGGUUCAAAAGUGAAAGACGGUCUUGCUGUCACUCAUAGAUGGAUCCGCGCUGCAUUAGCUAGUUGGUAAGGUAACGGCUUACCAAGGCAACGAUGCAUAGCCGACCUGAGAGGGUGAUCGGCCACACUGGAACUGAGACACGGUCCAGACUCCUACGGGAGGCAGCAGUAGGGAAUCUUCCGCAAUGGGCGAAAGCCUGACGGAGCAACGCCGCGUGAGUGAUGAAGGUCUUCGGAUCGUAAAACUCUGUUAUUAGGGAAGAACAUAUGUGUAAGUAACUGUGCACAUCUUGACGGUACCUAAUCAGAAAGCCACGGCUAACUACGUGCCAGCAGCCGCGGUAAUACGUAGGUGGCAAGCGUUAUCCGGAAUUAUUGGGCGUAAAGCGCGCGUAGGCGGUUUUUUAAGUCUGAUGUGAAAGCCCACGGCUCAACCGUGGAGGGUCAUUGGAAACCGGAAAACUUGAGUGCAGAAGAGGAAAGUGGAAUUCCAUGUGUAGCGGUGAAAUGCGCAGAGAUAUGGAGGAACACCAGUGGCGAAGGCGACUUUCUGGUCUGUAACUGACGCUGAUGUGCGAAAGCGUGGGGAUCAAACAGGAUUAGAUACCCUGGUAGUCCACGCCGUACACGAUGAGUGCUAAGUGUUAGGGGGUUUCCGCCCCUUAGUGCUGCAGCUAACGCAUUAAGCACUCCGCCUGGGGAGUACGACCGCAAGGUUGAAACUCAAAGGAAUUGACGGGGACCCGCACAAGCGGUGGAGCAUGUGGUUUAAUUCGAAGCAACGCGAAGAACCUUACCAAAUCUUGACAUCCUUUGACAACUCUAGAGAUAGAGCUUUCCCCUUCGGGGGACAAAGUGACAGGUGGUGCAUGGUUGUCGUCAGCUCGUGUCGUGAGAUGUUGGGUUAAGUCCCGCAACGAGCGCAACCCUUAAGCUUAGUUGCCAUCAUUAAGUUGGGCACUCUAAGUUGACUGCCGGUGACAAACCGGAGGAAGGUGGGGAUGACGUCAAAUCAUCAUGCCCCUUACGAUUUGGGCUACACACGUGCUACAAUGGACAAUACAAAGGGCAGCGAAACCGCGAGGUCAAGCAAAUCCCAUAAAGUUGUUCUCAGUUCGGAUUGUAGUCUGCAACUCGACUACAUGAAGCUGGAAUCGCUAGUAAUCGUAGAUCAGCAUGCUACGGUGAAUACGUUCCCGGGUCU